RNAcentral lists this long non-coding RNA (848 nucleotides) under Arachis ipaensis. RNAcentral describes it as "long non-coding RNA (AIPA_LNC000591)". Lineage: Eukaryota; Viridiplantae; Streptophyta; Magnoliopsida; Fabales; Fabaceae. The record is from RNAcentral.
AGAGAUCUGUUACAAAGGUGUUAAGAAACGGCCAUGGACGCCGCCCAGAUCCAUGACCCUGGCAAGACGCACGUCUGGCUCGGAACUUUCGAAACUGCAGAGGGGGCAGCGCGUGCGUACGGCGCCAAGGCUAAGACCAAUUUUCUGAUGGCGGCGGAGCUUCUGAACAACAGCAACAACUUCGUUCACAUUAACAAUAACACAUGUAGCCCGAGUCAGAGUAAUACGCUUGAUUCAUCUUCGCGGCUUCCGCCACCGCCACCGUCAGUGCAGUCCUAGCCGUAGUGCACGCUGAAAUCGUUUUCUCCGCCUUUACUUCUGCCGUCAUGGCGUUCCCAGCAGUGCGUUCUAUCAUGUUUUUUGAAAUGUUACAUCGUACGACGAAUCGAGAAUGAGCCGCCAGCGAGAUGUGUCUCAUAGGCAAUGCAACGACUUCGAUUCUUCUUCUGGAGUGGACUACGAGGGCAUGUCAUACAAGGGGCUAUUGGAUCUCGACCUCACCAUUGCUCCUGCGAUAAAAAUUGUGUGUUUAUCUACCUUAGAUUAGCUAUAAGCAUGUUUAUGUUAAUUUGGAUCAUAACAAAUGUCACAUUUUUAUUAGAUGGUCUAGGGGUGUACAUGGGUCGGGUGAAGCCGGGUUUGAUGUGACCCAAACCCGAUCCAAAAUAUAUACCGAAACCAAUACACUUUCGGGCCACAAUUAUACCGAGUGAAAAUCGGGUGAAAAUCGGGCCGUUAAUAUUACAUUACGUUGAUACCUUCUUGUAAGCUAGCAUGUAAAAAUAUCCAAAUUUUCAAGACUCCAACCAUUAUUUAACAUAGUAAAAUUCACUUAGAAAAAUAUAACA